Molecule: long non-coding RNA, 815 nt
Filed under: Capsicum annuum
Lineage: Eukaryota; Viridiplantae; Streptophyta; Magnoliopsida; Solanales; Solanaceae
Description: long non-coding RNA (CANN_LNC022553)
Source: RNAcentral
AUGAAAGGAAAUAGCUCCGACCCAUAAUUCCAUCAGAGAAUCAUUGUUAAAUAACUUGGUAUGAAGUUUAGAUUUGAGGUUUUGUAUUCAAGGACUGGAUCUAUUCGGGUCAUGUUUUUUUUUGUUGUAAGUAAAUGAAAGCACACUUCGAAAGGUAAUUUUCUCCUCUUUGUUUUGAUGGAUUGUGACAUCUAAUGUCGGAUUUGUGAAAUCUGUUUUUGAUUGAUUUUGGUGAUUUUUGAUGUUUGAUUGAUGAACUCGUGUGGUCUUAGUUUUAAAUUUGUGAAAUUUAUUGUUUUUAGGUUAUUGAAUGUCAAAUUUCAAAGUGUUAAAGAGGUUAAGGAAAAUUUAAAAUGCCGAAAGUAGGAAAUUUGAGGAUGGGAUUGAAGAAAUAAACUAAUUUUUCACUUCAAUUGUUGUUUAAUUCGCUAUUGCAAUUAACUAAACUUUGUUCGACUCUGUCGUGACAUGUUUAAGAUAGGGGAGUUACUAGGCAAAUUGUAGAAAGUUGGUAGGCGAAAUUGUAGGUUUUUGAUAAUUGACAAUGCAAGAAUUGUUUGUUAGUUAGUUCUUUAAUUAUUUCUUUUGAUUCAAUUGGAUCGAUUUUUUGGGGAAUGCCUCGAAGUACUGUGUAUUCAUUCAUUCACUAGGGAAUGCCUCAGAGUAUCUUGUAUCCGGUGGCCGUUCGAGAGAAGAAUCAAGCUAUCAGAUGAAGCAUAGUUUAGGCUAUUUAGAUAUCAUAGUUUGUUUUUGUAUUUUUUUUAAUUUUGGACCGUAUAAUUAGACCAGACACUAUUCUUUUACUUUUGUACUCG